AUUUCUUUAAGUGCUUCUUCGCCUUUUGUUCCGGUUUGUUUUACAAAGUCAGCAUAGAAAGGUUUCAUCGCUUCUUUGAAUGGGGCGAGAUCCGGAUAUGUUACGGUUACACCUUGU
Molecule: antisense RNA, 117 nt
Filed under: uncultured Aggregatibacter sp.
Lineage: Bacteria; Pseudomonadati; Pseudomonadota; Gammaproteobacteria; Pasteurellales; Pasteurellaceae
Description: Aggregatibacter sRNA 96
Rfam family: Aggregatibacter sRNA 96
About the family: Validated by RT-PCR. Antisense gene: HK1651_08600.
Source: RNAcentral